AACGAACGCUGGCGGCAUGCCUAACACAUGCAAGUCGAACGAGACCUUCGGGUCUAGUGGCGCACGGGUGCGUAACGCGUGGGAACCUGCCCUUAGGUUCGGAAUAACUCCCCGAAAGAGGUGCUAAUACCGGAUAAUGUCUUCGGACCAAAGAUUUAUCGCCUUUGGAUGGGCCCGCGUUGGAUUAGCUAGUUGGUAGGGUAAAAGCCUACCAAGGCGACGAUCCAUAGCUGGUCUGAGAGGAUGAUCAGCCACACUGGGACUGAGACACGGCCGAGACUCCUACGGGAGGCAGCAGUGGGGAAUAUUGGACAAUGGGCGAAAGCCUGAUCCAGCAAUGCCGCGUGAGUGAUGAAGGCCUUAGGGUUGUAAAGCUCUUUUACCCGGGAUGAUAAUGACAGUACCGGGAGAAUAAGCUCCGGCUAACUCCGUG
RNAcentral lists this ribosomal RNA (433 nucleotides) under uncultured bacterium. RNAcentral's name for it is "partial 16S ribosomal RNA". It matches the Rfam family "Bacterial small subunit ribosomal RNA", at positions 29 to 507 of the family's 1533-position model. The record is from RNAcentral.